RNAcentral lists this ribosomal RNA (491 nucleotides) under uncultured bacterium. Its description in RNAcentral is "bacterial SSU rRNA". It matches the Rfam family "Bacterial small subunit ribosomal RNA", at positions 29 to 507 of the family's 1533-position model. The record is from RNAcentral.
AUGAACGCUAGCGGCAGGCCUAAUACAUGCAAGUCGUACGGCAACACAGUUGCGAGCAAUCGCAACCGGUGGCGAGUGGCGCACGGGUGAGUAACGCGUAUGUAACCUACCCUUCUCCGGGACAUAACUCCGCGAAAGCGGUGCUAAUAUCCCAUACCAACUCAUCAAGACAUCUUCUUGAGUUGAAAGCAGCAAUGCGGUGAAGGAUGGGCAUGCGUCCCAUUAGCUGGUUGGUGAGGUAAUGGCCCACCAAGGCUACGAUGGGUAGGGGUUCUGAGAGGAAAGCCCCCCACACUGGUACUGAGACACGGACCAGACUCCUACGGGAGGCAGCAGUAAGGAAUAUUGGUCAAUGGGCGGAAGCCUGAACCAGCCAUCCCGCGUGCAGGAAGAAGGCGCUAAGCGUUGUAAACUGCUUUUGCAGGGGAAGAAACUUCCGGUUGCGACCGGGACUGACGGUACCCUGUGAAUAAGCAUCGGCUAACUCCGUG